GUCCGAAUGGCGUAGUGGUCAGCGCAUGUGCCUGGUAAGCAAAAGACCCGGGUUCGAAUCCUGGUCCGGCACA
This is a non-coding RNA of Schistocerca serialis cubense, 73 nucleotides long. NCBI's taxonomy places the organism in Eukaryota, Metazoa, Arthropoda, Insecta, Orthoptera, Acrididae. The record is from the annotation of a RefSeq genome assembly.